GCUCCCAUCGUCUAGCGGUUAGGACACUGCCCUCUCACGGCAGAGACAGGGGUUCGAUUCCCCUUGGGAGUA
This 72-nucleotide transfer RNA is filed under the name Deltaproteobacteria bacterium. RNAcentral's name for it is "tRNA-Glu". It matches the Rfam family "tRNA". From Rfam's summary of the family: Transfer RNA (tRNA) molecules are approximately 80 nucleotides in length. Their secondary structure includes four short double-helical elements and three loops (D, anti-codon, and T loops). The record is from RNAcentral. Lineage: Bacteria; Pseudomonadati; Myxococcota; Myxococcia.